UACGUAGGGUGCGAGCGUUGUCCGGAAUUACUGGGCGUAAAGGGCUCGUAGGCGGUUUGUCGCGUCGGAAGUGAAAACACGGGGCUUAACUCUGUGCUUGCUUUCGAUACGGGCAGACUAGAGGGAUGCAGGGGAGAGCGGAAUUCCUGGUGUAGCGGUGAAAUGCGCAGAUAUCAGGAGGAACACCAGUGGCGAAGGCGACUUUCUGGCCUGUUCUUGACGCUGAGGCGCGAAAGCUAGGGGAGCAAACGGG
This 253-nucleotide ribosomal RNA is filed under the name uncultured bacterium. Its description in RNAcentral is "partial 16S ribosomal RNA". It matches the Rfam family "Bacterial small subunit ribosomal RNA", at positions 524 to 776 of the family's 1533-position model. The record is from RNAcentral.